GAUGAACGCUGGCGGCGUGCCUAAUACAUGCAAGUAGAACGCUGAAGGAGGAGCUUGCUCUUCUGGAUGAGUUGCGAACGGGUGAGUAACGCGUAGGUAACCUGCCUGGUAGCGGGGGAUAACUAUUGGAAACGAUAGCUAAUACCGCAUGACAACAGUUAUUGCAUGAUAACUGUUUAAAAGGGGCAACUGCUCCACUACCAGAUGGACCUGCGUUGUAUUAGCUAGUUGGUGAGGUAACGGCUCACCAAGGCGACGAUACAUAGCCGACCUGAGAGGGUGAUCGGCCACACUGGGACUGAGACACGGCCCAGACUCCUACGGGAGGCAGCAGUAGGGAAGCUUCGGCAAUGGACGGAAGUCUGACCGAGCAACGCCGCGUGAGUGAAGAAGGUUUUCGGAUCGUAAAGCUCUGUUGUAAGAGAAGAACGAGUGUGAGAGUGGAAAGUUCACACUGUGACGGUAUCUGACCAGAAAGGGACGGCUAACUACGUG
RNAcentral lists this ribosomal RNA (495 nucleotides) under uncultured bacterium. RNAcentral's name for it is "partial 16S ribosomal RNA". It matches the Rfam family "Bacterial small subunit ribosomal RNA", at positions 28 to 507 of the family's 1533-position model. The record is from RNAcentral.